CCUACGGGAGGCAGCAGUGAGGAAUAUUGGUCAAUGGACGAGAGUCUGAACCAGCCAAGUAGCGUGAAGGAUGACUGCACUAUGGGUUGUAAACUUCUUUUAUAUGGGAAUAAAAUGUUCCACGUGUGGGAUUUUGUAUGUACCAUAUGAAUAAGGAUCGGCUAACUCCGUGCCAGCAGCCGCGGUAAUACGGAGGAUCCGAGCGUUAUCCGGAUUUAUUGGGUUUAAAGGGAGCGUAGGGGGAUUGUUAAGUCAGUUGUGAAAGUUUGGGGCUCAACCGUAAAAUUGCAGUUGAAACUGGUAGUCUUGAGUACAGUAGAGGUGUGCGGAAUGCGUGGUGUAGCGGUGAAAUGCUUAGAUAUCACGAAGAACUCCGAUUGCGAAGGUAGCUCACUGG
RNAcentral lists this ribosomal RNA (397 nucleotides) under uncultured bacterium. RNAcentral's name for it is "partial 16S ribosomal RNA". It matches the Rfam family "Bacterial small subunit ribosomal RNA", at positions 338 to 732 of the family's 1533-position model. The record is from RNAcentral.